RNAcentral lists this ribosomal RNA (1313 nucleotides) under uncultured Alphaproteobacteria bacterium. Its description in RNAcentral is "uncultured alpha proteobacterium 16S ribosomal RNA". It matches the Rfam family "Bacterial small subunit ribosomal RNA", at positions 33 to 1393 of the family's 1533-position model. The record is from RNAcentral. Lineage: Bacteria; Pseudomonadati; Pseudomonadota; Alphaproteobacteria.
ACGCUGGCGGCACGCCUAACACAUGCAAGUCGAACGAAGUAGCAAUACUUAGUGGCAGACGGGUGAGUAACAUGUAGGUAUCUGCCCUUUGGCCUGGAAUAACACGAGGAAACUUGUGCUAAUACCGGAUAAGUCUUUACAGAGAAAGCUUUAUGCACCAUUGGAUGAGCCUGCACUUGAUUAGUUUGUUGGUGGGGUAAUGGCCUACCAAGACUGUGAUCAAUAGCUGAUUUGAGAGGAUGAUCAGCCACAUUGGGACUGAGACACGGCCCAAACUCCUACGGGAGGCAGCAGUGGGGAAUCUUGCACAAUGGAGGAAACUCUGAUGCAGCGAUGCCGCGUGAGUGAAGAAGGCCUUUGGGUUGUAAAGCUCUUUCGUCGGGGAAGAAAAUGACUGUACCCGAAUAAGAAGGUCCGGCUAACUUCGUGCCAGCAGCCGCGGUAAUACGAAGGGACCUAGCGUAGUUCGGAAUUACUGGGCUUAAAGAGUUCGUAGGUGGUUGAAAAAGUUAGUGGUGAAAUCCCAGAGCUUAACUCUGGAACUGCCAUUAAAACUUUUUAGCUAGAGUAUGAUAGAGGAAAGCAGAAUUUCUAGUGUAGAGGUGAAAUUCGUAGAUAUUAGAAAGAAUACCAAUUGCGAAGGCAGCUUUCUGGAUCAUUACUGACACUGAGGAACGAAAGCAUGGGUAGCGAAGAGGAUUAGAUACCCUCGUAGUCCAUGCCGUAAACGAUGUGUGUUAGACGUUGGAAAUUUAUUUUCAGUGUCGCAGCGAAAGCGAUAAACACACCGCCUGGGGAGUACGACCGCAAGGUUAAAACUCAAAUGAAUUGACGGGGACCCGCACAAGUAGUGGAGCAUGUGGUUUAAUUCGAAGAUACGCGCAGAACCUUACCAACACUUGACAUGUUCGUCGCGACUCUAAGAGAUUAGAGUUUUCGGUUCGGCCGGACGAAACACAGGUGCUGCAUGGCUGUCGUCAGCUCGUGUCGUGAGAUGUUGGGUUAAGUCCCGCAACGAGCGCAACCCUCACUUUUAGUUGCCAUCAUUAAGUUGGGCACUCUGAAAGAACUGCCAGUGAUAAGCUGGAGGAAGGUGGGGAUGACGUCAAGUCCUCAUGGCCCUUACGUGUUGGGCUACACACGUGCUACAAUGGCAUCUACAACAGGAAGCAAAACGGCAACGUUAAGCAAAUCCCGAAAAGAUGCCUCAGUUCGGAUUGCACUCUGCAACUCGAGUGCAUGAAGCUGGAAUUACUAGUAAUCGUGGAUCAGCGUGCCACGGUGAAUGCGUUCCCGGGUCUUGCACACACCGC